This 1178-nucleotide ribosomal RNA is filed under the name Nitratireductor sp. RNAcentral's name for it is "bacterial SSU rRNA". It matches the Rfam family "Bacterial small subunit ribosomal RNA", at positions 52 to 1260 of the family's 1533-position model. Lineage: Bacteria; Pseudomonadati; Pseudomonadota; Alphaproteobacteria; Hyphomicrobiales; Phyllobacteriaceae. The record is from RNAcentral.
UACGUGCAAGUCGAGCGCGUCCUUGGGAGCUAGCGGCCUACGGUUGAGUAACGCGUGGGAUCUACCCAGCUCUACGGAAUAAUGCAUGACUGCGUGGACUAAUACCGUAUGCGCCCCCAUUUGGAGACUUUUGGGGGGAAAGAUUUAUCGGAGUUGGAUGAGCCCGCGUCUGAUUUUAUAGUUGGUGGGGUAAUGGCCUACCUAGGUGACGAUCAGUAGCUGGUCUGAGAGGAUGAUCAGCCACACUGGGACUGAGACGCGGCCCCAACUCCUACCGGAGGCACCAGUGGGAAAUAUUGGACAAUGGGCGCAAGCCUGAUCCCGCCAUGGCACGUGAGUGAUGAAGGCCCUAGGGUUGUGAAUGUCUUUCGUCGUUGAAUAUAAUGACUCUGUCCGGAGAAAAAAACCCGGCUAACUUCGUGCCAGCAGCCGCGUGACUACAACUGGGGCUAGCGUUGUUCGGAAUUACUGGGCGUAAAGCGCACGUAUGCGGAUCGGUCAGUUAGGGGUGAAAUCCCGGGGGCUCAACCCCGGAACUGCCUUUAAUACUGCCGGUCUAGAGUUCGAGAGAGGUGAGUGGAAUUCCGAGUGUGGAGGUGAGAUUAACAUAUAUGCAGAGGAACACAGUGGAAUUCCGCGUGCUCACUGGCUCUAUACUGACGCUGAGGUGAAAAGCGUGGGGAGCAAACACUCUUAGAUACGCUGGGAGUCCACACCGUAAACGAUGGAAGCUAGCCGUCGGUUAGUAUACUGUGCGGUGCCGCACUUAACACAUUGAGUGUUCACGCCUGGGGAGUACGCUCGCCAUUAUUACAACUCACAGGAUUGACGGAGUCCCGCCUGAGCAGUGGAGUCAUGAGAUUGAAAUCUCAAGCAACGCGCAGAGCCUUACCCAGCCCUUGACGUCCCGGUCGCGUUUAACUCAGAGAUGGUAUCCUUAACUUCAGCUGGACUUGAGACCGGUGAUACCUGUAUGAUCGACAGCUUCUCGCCUUGAGAUGCUGGGUUAAGUCCCGCCACGAGUGCACUCUCUCUCGUAGUGGCCAGCCUUAUUGGUCCCUCUAGGGGACUGCCUUUGAUAUGCCUACAGAAUUGGUGAUGACUUCAGUCUAUUGCCCUUACGCUGGAGUAACGACGGGCAUACAUGGAAGUGAACAUGUGCCCAUGAGAACUGGCGA